UUGACCUACUGUGACUGUACAACUGGGUUUUUCUCUCAGCUCAGAUGAGAUUCAUAUUAAGAUCUGUACUAGUUGCACAGUGAAACAGCUUCUUUUUCUUCCUUGUUCCCUGUUACGCACCUCCAGUGCGUGUCUCUGUGCUAGAUGAGAGCCUGUGGGGAGUUCAGGGAGUGCAGGUCUGAGCCGUGUAUCACCCUGUCACCAGGACCAAGCUGGGAGAGGUUUGUCAGCAAAACACUGUGGUCCUGAAAUUUCAAGCCUGAGGCGGAGCUGGGAAGAACAUCCUAGAGCUCCUGGGUUUCUAUCUAGGGCUUUGGACACAGCUUCAGUCAAAGAGUCCCCCUUCCUGAAAGUGGGUACCGAGACAUGAGCUUUCAAUACCUGCAAAUUUCCAUCUGGUUUGUUAGCAGCACUCCUCAUGAAGGGGAUUAUGAAAAGUUGGAGAUGCUACAGUGUUUCAUACUCAUUUGACUGUGGUGGCUGAGCUGAACAACUUCUGACUUGCCCUCCUGAAGGUGAACGGAGGACAAGGCUGUGCAGUGGGGCUGGUGACAACUCGGUUUCAACCUCUGCUGCAGCAGCCUGGCUGGGGUAUGCAACACAGAGAAGCUGGUGGGGGGCUCACCAGCCCCUUCCAGCUAUUCAGUACCACUCUCUGGGCACAAGAGUGUCACAAACUGGCUGGUGAAACCAGGCUUGCAGCUCUUGUGUGUGGUCAUUAUGGGGCAAAAUGCAGCCGGGCUGUUCUGGUAAAUCCUGAGGGUAGGAAGGCUUGCCAACAGCUCGGCUCUCCUGCUUCCUUCCACUGCUGCAGAUAACGCCGUGCAGCCUCCCGGGGAGGGAGGUGCAUUUCUGCCCUUACCAAAGGUGUUUUCUGUUGAUAUGGUAUGUUCCUGCACAUGGAGGGGAAGGCAGAUAUGGCCAGACAUCCUCUCCCAGAUCCUGUUGUGUGGGUGAGAGCGGCUGCUGGCAGUGGGGUUGCUCCUUUGUGCUCCUCCAGCUGGAGGCAAGCACCCAUUUGGGGAUGCUUCCCAGAAAAUACAAUUGCACAGUGAGCAGAUGCUUUCUGUCCAUGGCUUUGCACCUCCUGCUCCUGGGAGGGGCUGGAAGGAGAACUGGGAAAUGGUGCUGGAGAAGUAUGGCCAAAAAUGGUCAAGACCAGGUAAGGAGCAGCCAUAUGGCAGAUGUGCUGCUGGCUCCGUAAUUAAGCCAAGUGCUCGGGAUGCAAGAGGCUUGGCUGUGCACAGUUGAGAGCCUGGCUUCCUGUGUGUUCCUCCCUGCUAUGAUUCUGACCAGAAAUUCCAUUUUUGACCUGAAAAAUCUUCCAGAUGAAAAUUUAAUUAUAAAAGUGAUGUAUUCCCACAAGAAACUUUAGUGUCAGCAAAUAAGUCCUUUUUUAUGAAAAACUAUUUUAUUCACAUACACAAAAAUCUGGCUCCCACUAAUUUCAUGCUAGAGCA
This is a long non-coding RNA of Catharus ustulatus (Swainson's thrush), 1460 nucleotides long. RefSeq lists it as uncharacterized. The transcript is spliced from 4 exons. The record is from RefSeq and is a predicted model, not a curated record. Lineage: Eukaryota; Metazoa; Chordata; Aves; Passeriformes; Turdidae.